GGGCGCAUAGCUCAGCGGGAGAGCACUCGCCUUACAAGCGAGCGGUCGCAGGUUCAAAUCCUGCUGCGCCCA
This 72-nucleotide transfer RNA is filed under the name Pseudonocardiaceae bacterium. RNAcentral describes it as "tRNA-Val". It matches the Rfam family "tRNA". Rfam says of the family: Transfer RNA (tRNA) molecules are approximately 80 nucleotides in length. The record is from RNAcentral. RNAcentral also lists the same sequence under 3 other names. Lineage: Bacteria; Bacillati; Actinomycetota; Actinomycetes; Pseudonocardiales; Pseudonocardiaceae.